This is a long non-coding RNA of Nycticebus coucang (slow loris), 390 nucleotides long. RefSeq lists it as uncharacterized. NCBI's taxonomy places the organism in Eukaryota, Metazoa, Chordata, Mammalia, Primates, Lorisidae. The record is from RefSeq and is a predicted model, not a curated record. The transcript is spliced from 4 exons.
GCCCCUAGGGAGUGCGGAGCCAAGCGAUCCGGCUCCCCGCUGCGGUCGCCCAUGCCGGAGGUGAAAAGAGAGAGGUUUAAGAGAAUCCAUUUUGAAGUGAAGGAGCCAAGACUGUGGGUGGAUCUGAAACAACCUGGCAUGUUUGGGAAACUGCCAGGAGUUGAGCAAGGAUGAAGAAGAGUCUAGGAAAGGAAAAGGAGCCACAGACAAUAAGCCAGAUUCCCCUAUAAGCCAAGAUGUGUUCUUUUUGAUCAGCUCCAGCAUUCUUGUGAUGACACACAAAAAUGUCAACAAUAAUGAACGUCACUCAGCAAGACACCACCACCUGUCAACACAAAACACAGCUGUGAGAGAGACACUGAUAUAUCAAGUUACGAAACUUUACUGAGU